CGAACCUCAAGCACUGCUUGGUGUUGGGCGAGGUCCCACGGGGACCCGCCCGCAACCCGUAGGCGGCAGUCGCCCGCGCCCCAGCGUAGCAAGCCUUCGCACCCGCUCGGGGACGGCGCGGCGGCCGGUCCAACGAACCCAUCUAAAAA
RNAcentral lists this unclassified non-coding RNA (149 nucleotides) under uncultured Dothideomycetes. RNAcentral describes it as "sequence contains ITS2". Lineage: Eukaryota; Fungi; Ascomycota; Dothideomycetes. The record is from RNAcentral.